RNAcentral lists this unclassified non-coding RNA (1451 nucleotides) under Hevea brasiliensis (rubber tree). Lineage: Eukaryota; Viridiplantae; Streptophyta; Magnoliopsida; Malpighiales; Euphorbiaceae. The record is from RNAcentral.
AGGAGGAUUUUGUGUCUAAUUCAGGUAUGCUUUGUCCUUUCAUUUGUGUAUUUUAGAACGAUUCUUUUUUUCAAUUAGAAAAGAGUACACAUUCAUAUAUAUUUGAUCUUUUUCCUUUUGUGGAACCUUCCAACUUAUCAAUUUUGCUCAUUACAGACUGAAGAAGUAGUCUUUUAUCAACUUAUUAUGGACAAAUUUAUGAAUUAAUUUUUUGCAGCAGAAAAGUUGUUUCUAGAUGUUCUAUUAUUGCUAUAUUGCUUACAUUUUUGCUUUUGCAUCAUACUACCAGCUUAUUUUUGUGAUUAUUAUUUUCCACAAAACACGCUUAAUGUCUUCUUAUAUGGGUCAUGACUUAUGAGCCUUCCCAUCCAAUACUUGGAGCUUUUGGAACAGAGCUCUAAUGCUUAGUAAGAGGCUAAGAGCUUGUUUUGGCGUUCAGCUGGAGUCCAUGUGUGGGUCUAUCUGCUUUUUAGUUUGAUAGAGUAGUGGACUUUUAGCAUGGUUAAGUUAAAGCCUGUUGUAUUAGGGCUUAUGUGAGAAGGGGUUUUAGAAGUAAGAGGAGCCUCACAUCCCUUCAGGAAAGGUUCUUAUAUGGGCUUAUUUGGCUUAUGGAUCACUUCACCCUAUAGCUUAAGUUUUUGGGUUGGAAUUUCAUCCGAUGCCUGAUUGUGCUUCGUAGUUUGACAUGUAUUAUCAUGCAAAAAAUGUUGUAGCAUUGCUAUUAGCUCCAUUUUAUUUAUUUUUUGGUUGCUUGUUCUCUAAAAUGUGGUUCUUCAGUUUGAUUCUUAUUAACUUUAUUGUAACUGGAGUUUGGCACCAAGUAAGGAUAUAUCUUCUACUCUUCAAGUAAAUCUAGGAAAAUUUUACUGCAAAACAGCAAAUGUUUAGCUUCUUGCUAAAUUCUAAAGCAUCCUAUCGGAUAAAAUUUUAAAACAGGUUGUUAGAAUUGUUAAACAUCUAAGUUAGUCAAGAAGCUAACCUUCUGGGUGUACGUGUUUGUAGGUUUGGUUGGGGUUAAGUAGACUAAGGUAGUAGAACUUUAUGGGAAGUAUAAAAACUCUCUUGUUUUUGCAUUAUCAAACCAACUUCUUGGAUGUAGGUCAUUCUAAUUCCCUUGUGCUAGGGAAGUAACUUAGAAGAGACUUGGUAAAUUGCAUUUCCUUAGUUAAGUGCAAGAUAAUUUACCAAUUUUUCUUUUAAUUUGUUACAUUUUAAAUUACAUUAUGAGUAUUAUUGUCUUUUGUUACUUAGGAGCAAAUUUACGUACUGGAAAGUUAAUUUGUAUGGUUCAAAAUACUCACUUCUUGGGAAGUAUACUUCUCAGGAUGUACACUUUCAGGGAACUUACUUCUUGGGAAGUAUGAUAUAAAUGUGUUUGGUAUACAAAUUAACUUACUAUGAAGUAGUUUGUUUCUAAAUUAUAAAAGAUAAUAAUGCCCAUAAAAUAAUUU